GGCCACAUUACACCACCCUGAAUGCACCCAAUCUCAGAAGCUCAGCAGGGUUGGGCCUGGCUGGUCUUUGGAUGGGAGACCUCUGGGAAUACCGGGUGCUGGGCCC
This 106-nucleotide ribosomal RNA is filed under the name Carlito syrichta (Philippine tarsier). The record is from RNAcentral. Lineage: Eukaryota; Metazoa; Chordata; Mammalia; Primates; Tarsiidae.